This 413-nucleotide non-coding RNA is filed under the name Balearica regulorum gibbericeps (East African grey crowned-crane). Its description in RNAcentral is "Balearica pavonina gibbericeps Eukaryotic large subunit ribosomal RNA". It matches the Rfam family "Eukaryotic large subunit ribosomal RNA", at positions 2644 to 2992 of the family's 3401-position model. The record is from Rfam by way of RNAcentral. Lineage: Eukaryota; Metazoa; Chordata; Aves; Gruiformes; Gruidae.
AAAUGGGACCCAGUGGGCUUUAUGCAAGAGGGAAUGCUGAAAAAGCUCCAGUGCUUCUGCAGAUACUCAUGCCAAAUACUCCCUACCUGGUGUCCUGAGGCAAGCCCAGGGAGGACAGAAACUUGGGCAGCAUAAAGGGCAAAAGUACACUUAAUCUUGAUUUUCAAUGGGAAUACAGGCCAUACUAGUGUGGCCUCAGGAUUGUGUGACUUUCUAGGUUUUAAGCAAGAGAUGUCAGAAAAGUUACCACAGAGAAAACCACCCUGUGGCAGUCAAGUAUUAGCAAAGUUACUUCAACGCUUUGAUGUCGUCUUUUCCUCUCACCACAAAACAGAAUUCAAGCGUUGGUCGGUUCACCCAUUAACAAUGAACACGAGCUGGGUGUAGACUACCAUGAGACAAGUUAGUUUUAC